AUUAGAAAAAGGCCCUGAAUUUGUUCUGCGUAGCGCAAGCAAAUUGAAUAACAUGCUUGCGCUGUGUUUGCUUUUAAAUUGUCUCUGGUGUCUCCACAAGUGGGACAAAAGGGCCAGGAAAGUGUAUGGUGCAUGUGUUUGGAGCCUGCUUGUGGGAUUGCCUUUGUGUAGAGUGUGGUGUGGUAUUGUGUAAAUAGGUCGAUUUCAUUUGGGUUUGUGGUGUAAUAUGUGUGGCUAGGGGCUGUAGAGAGUGUGUGUAUAGGGGGCAUAGUGUUAUAGGGGAUGUAGCGAGUGUGUGCAUACAGGCUGUAGUGUGUGUGUAUAGGUGACGUAGUGUGUGUAGGGGUUGUAGAGAGGGUGUGUUUAGAGAAUGUUGUAUGUGUUUGCUGACAAGGAAUGUAGUGUGUGUGUAGGUGGUGCAGUGUGUGUGUGUGAGAUCUAGUGUGUAAAGGACCCAGAGUGUGUAUAGGAGAUUGUGUGUGUGUAGUGGAUUAAGAGUGCAUAUAGGGUAAGGGAUCUAGCGUGUAUCUGGAGCGUAAUGUAUGUAGUGGUGCAGUGUGAGGGGUGUUGUAGUGUAUGUAUAUAUGUUUUUAUCUGCCGUCACAUUCUAGGUUUCUAAUUUUCUUUGUCUGUUAACUCACUGAGGGUUAUUUUAUAUAUUAUAUAUAUACAGUUGCAAGAAAAAGUAUGUGAACCCUUUGGAAUGAUAUGGAUUUCUGCACAAAUUGGUCAUAAAAUGUGAUCUGAUCAUCAUCUAAGUCACAACAAUAGACAGUCACAGUCUGCUUAAACCAAUAACACACAAAGAAUGAAAUGUUGCCAUGUUUUUAUUGAACACACCAUGUAAACAUUCACAGUGCAGGUGGAAAAAGUAUGUGAACCCCUAGACUAUUGACAUCUCCAAGAGCUAAUUGGAGUGAGAUGUCAGCCAACUGGAGUCCAAUCAAUGAGAUGAGAUUGGAGGUGUUGGUUACAGUUGCCCUGCUCUAUAAAAAACACACACCAGUUCUGGGUUUGCUUUUCACAAGAAGCAUUGCCUGAUGUGAAUGAUGCCUCACACAAAAGAGCUCUCAGAAGACCUACGAUUAAGAAUUGUUGACUUGCAUAAAGCUGGAAAGGGUUAUAAAAGUAUCUUCAAAAGCCUGGCUGUUCAUCAGUCCACGGUAAGACAAAUUGUCUAUAAAUGAACAAAGUUCAGCACUGCUGCUACUCUCCCUAGGAAUAACCUUCCAGUGGGAGCAGUAACAGUGAAAAAGAAAGGGUAGUAGAUGCCUGGAAUACACUUCCAGUUGAAGCAGUAACAAUGAUUUAGAAAGGGUAGUAGAUACCUGGAUUAGCCUUCCAGUGGAAGCAGUAACAGUGAUACAAAAAGGGUAGUAGAUACCUGGAAUAGCCUUCCAGUGGGAGCAGUAACAGUGAUAUAGAAAGGGUAGUGGAUACCUGUAAUAGCCUUCCAUUGGAAGCAGUAAUGGCUAACAGUGGUAUAGAAAGGGUAUUAGAUACCUGGAACAGCCUUCCAGUGGGGGCAGUAACAGUGGUAUAGAAAGGGUAGUAGAUACCUGGAUUAGCCUUUCAGUGUAAGCAGUAACAGUGAUAUAGAAAGGGUAGUAGAUACCUGGAAUAGCCUUCCAGUGGAGGCAGUAACAGGGAUAUAGAAAGGGUAGUAGAUACCUGGAACAGCUUUCCAGUGGGAGCAG
This is a non-coding RNA of Pelobates cultripes (western spadefoot toad), 1697 nucleotides long. NCBI's taxonomy places the organism in Eukaryota, Metazoa, Chordata, Amphibia, Anura, Pelobatidae. The record is from the annotation of a GenBank genome assembly.